CUCGAGGACCAGGAUUGCCCACCCCUACGAUAAAGUGUGCUGUGGUGAUGAAGUGCUCUGUGCCUGCAGUAGACCAGCGGUGUGCCAUGCAUGAUAAAAAGCGAACGGAUGGCAAGGGAAGCCUGAGGAAGGCUGCACAACCCAGCUGCUGGUGCAAAGCUGCAGGCCGGAAAACACACAGCAGGCCCAGAGGUGGAAAAACAUGAUUUAAAUGGCAGUAAAACAUGGAUGCAAAGAUCCUCUUGGAGCACCUAAUGGUGCCUCCAGAGCCUCACCUUGGAUUCACCUGAGGCUGCCUGUGUUGGAUCUCAAACCAGCCUUUUGACCUCCAUCAUGCCACACUCACCUUCCUGUAAACCUUAACCCUCCUCCCUGAGCCAGCCUCCUCAUCAAUCUCUAGAAGACAAAGACACAUUCUCAAGUUAUUCAUUCCUUAAUUCCCUUUCUGGUGAUAUCUUUCAUCUUCCCACAGAUUCCUCCCAAACUAAACGCCUUCAAUGUAAAUAAAGAUGCUUACUACUUGU
Long non-coding RNA from Austrofundulus limnaeus, 524 nucleotides. RefSeq lists it as uncharacterized. The transcript has 3 exons. The record is from RefSeq and is a predicted model, not a curated record. Lineage: Eukaryota; Metazoa; Chordata; Actinopteri; Cyprinodontiformes; Rivulidae.